RNAcentral lists this small nucleolar RNA (69 nucleotides) under Trypanosoma cruzi. RNAcentral's name for it is "C/D small nucleolar RNA (snoRNA)". The record is from RNAcentral. Lineage: Eukaryota; Euglenozoa; Kinetoplastea; Trypanosomatida; Trypanosomatidae.
GCCAGCAGUCAAAGCAUCGUUUCUCGCUCACGCGAGUCGGCAUUGCACAGCAAUCAGCGGCAACAUGCG